GACGAACGCUGGCGGCGUGCUUAACACAUGCAAGUCGAACGGGAAGGCCCUGCUUUUGUGGGGUGCUCGAGUGGCGAACGGGUGAGUAACACGUGAGUAACCUGCCCUUGACUUUGGGAUAACUUCAGGAAACUGGGGCUAAUACCGGAUAGGAGCUCCUGCUGCAUGGUGGGGGUUGGAAAGUUUCGGCGGUUGGGGUUGGACUCGCGGCUUAUCGGCUUGUUGGUGGGGUAGUGGCUUACCAAGGCUUUGACGGGUAGCCGGCCUGAGAGGGUGACCGGCCACAUUGGGACUGAGAGACGGACCAGACGCCUACGGGAGGCAGCAGUGGGGAAUAUUGCACAAUGGGCGGAAGCCUGAUGCAGCAACGCCGCGUGCGGGAUGACGGCCUUCGGGUUGUAAACCGCUUUCGCCUGUGACGAAGCGUGAGUGACGGUAAUGGGUAAAGAAGCACCGGCUAACUACGUG
This 468-nucleotide ribosomal RNA is filed under the name uncultured bacterium. RNAcentral describes it as "partial 16S ribosomal RNA". It matches the Rfam family "Bacterial small subunit ribosomal RNA", at positions 28 to 507 of the family's 1533-position model. The record is from RNAcentral.